CAUUAAGAAGCUUUUACAGCAUUAGCCUUUUAAGCUAAAGAAGGGCCUAUAGCCCCUUAAUGA
RNAcentral lists this transfer RNA (63 nucleotides) under Abronia graminea. RNAcentral describes it as "tRNA-Lys". The record is from RNAcentral. Lineage: Eukaryota; Metazoa; Chordata; Lepidosauria; Squamata; Anguidae.